GACGAACGCUGGCGGCGUGCUUAACACAUGCAAGUCGAACGGAAAGGCCCUGCUUUGGUGGGGUGCGCGAGUGGCGAACGGGGGAGUAACACGUGAGUAACCUGCCCUUGACUUUGGGAGAACUUCAGGAAACUGGGGCUAAUACCGGAUAGGAGCUCCUGCUGCAGGGUGGGGGUUGGAAAGUUUAGGCGGUUGGGGAUGGACUCGCGGCUUAUCAGCUUGUUGGUUGGGUAGUGGCUUACCAAGGCUUUGACGGGUAGCCGGCCUGAGAGGGUGACCGGCCAAAUUGGGACUGAGCUACGGCCCAGACUCCUACGGGAGGCAGCAGUGGGGAAUAUUGUACAAUGGGCGGAAGCCUGAUGCAGCAAAGCCGCGUGCGGGAUGACGGCCAUCGGGUUGUAAACCGCUUCCGCCUGUGACGAAGCGUGAGUGACGGUACUGGGUAAAGAAGCACCGGCUAACUACGUG
RNAcentral lists this ribosomal RNA (468 nucleotides) under uncultured bacterium. RNAcentral describes it as "partial 16S ribosomal RNA". It matches the Rfam family "Bacterial small subunit ribosomal RNA", at positions 28 to 507 of the family's 1533-position model. The record is from RNAcentral.